UGAGGAAUAUUGGUCUAUGGGCGCAAGCCUGAACCAGCCAUCCCGCGUGAAGGAAGAAGGCGCUAUGCGUUGUAAACUUCUUUUCCAGGGGGCGAACGUUCCGUACGUGUACGGGAGUGACGGUACCCUGGGAAUAAGCAUCGGCUAACUCCGUGCCAGAAGCCGCGGUAAUACGGCGGAUGCGAGCGUUAUCCGGCUUUAUUGGGUUUAAAGGGUGCGUAGGCGGAUUAAUAAGUCAGUGGUGAAAACCUGCAGCUUAACUGUGGAACUGCCGUUGUGACUGUGAGUCUUGAGUAUGGUCAAGGUAGGCGGAAUGUGUAAUGUAGCGGUGAAAUGCUUAGAUAUUACACAGAACACCGAUUGCGAAGGCAGCUUACUGGGCCGUUACUGACGCUGAUGCACGAAAGCGUGGGGAUCGAACA
Molecule: ribosomal RNA, 422 nt
Filed under: uncultured prokaryote
Description: bacterial SSU rRNA
Rfam family: Bacterial small subunit ribosomal RNA
Source: RNAcentral